AUCGCUUCUCGGCCUUUGGCUAAGAUCAAGUGUGUAUCUGUUCUUAUCAGUUUAACUUCUGUCGUCUCUAUCAGGGGAAAACAUAUAAAUGGUUUUUAGCAAUGGAGUUGAAAAAGGGGCUUGCUCCAGUCACUCCACGCAUCGACCGGUAUGCAGCGUCGCUAGGGAACGGUGCACCCAUC
This is a small nuclear RNA of Etheostoma spectabile (orangethroat darter), 182 nucleotides long. RefSeq annotates it as U2 spliceosomal RNA. The transcript has a single exon. NCBI's taxonomy places the organism in Eukaryota, Metazoa, Chordata, Actinopteri, Perciformes, Percidae. The record is from RefSeq and is a predicted model, not a curated record.